This 352-nucleotide ribosomal RNA is filed under the name uncultured Victivallaceae bacterium. RNAcentral describes it as "bacterial SSU rRNA". It matches the Rfam family "Bacterial small subunit ribosomal RNA", at positions 1029 to 1382 of the family's 1533-position model. The record is from RNAcentral. Lineage: Bacteria; Pseudomonadati; Lentisphaerota; Lentisphaeria; Victivallales; Victivallaceae.
GUCUGACAGGUGCUGCAUGGCUGUCGUCAGCUCGUGUCGUGAGGAUGUCGGUUAAGUCCGGCAACGAGCGCAACCCGUACUGCCUGUUACCAGCGCGUAAUGCGGGGACUCUGGCAGGACUGCCCGUGUUAAGCGGGAGGAAGGUGCGGAUGACGUCAAGUCAGUAUGGCCCUUACAUCCAGGGCUGCACACGUGCUACAAUGGGUGGUACAGUGGGACGCAAGACCGCGAGGUGGAGCUAAUCCCCAAACCACCCCCAGUUCAGAUCGGAGUCUGCAACUCGACUCCGUGAAGCCGGAAUCGCUAGUAAAGGCGUAUCAGCUACGACGCCUUGAAUACGUUCCCGGGCCUU